CAUGAAGAUGGUCUCUGUGUCCUCAGCUCAAGAAUCCUGUAGCUUGUCCCAUCAUAAUCCAUUCACCCGUUCAUCAUGUGUACUGAGCAGCUACCAUGUUCAAGGUAAUAUGCCAGGCGCUGUAUGUCUCCACUGCCAAGUAGAAGUGACUCAAAACCCUCUGACAAGGAUAUUCCCUUGGCUAUGGUCCUGCCAGGUGCAGGCCCAGGCCCAUGACCCCACCUUUACUAAGCACAAGUACUUGCCACUGCCAUCACUGCCAAGUAACUAGAUGUCUCUGUUUCCCUGCCAAUGAUCCUGCAGGUUCUGCCCGGUCUGGUUAUCUUCCUGUUCCUGUAGCAUAGCCAGGCACUGCCAAUCACCUGCACCCCCAUUGCUGUCAGCAGAUGUCUUGGGUCCUGAGUGUAAGGAGACAGGAGGAGUAGGAGGAGGCAGGGCCUCUCCAUGCCAGCCUCUGUGGUCCUUGCCCAAACCCAUCAGCGCAUACUUGAACCUUCUCCCAGGUAGGGGCAGGAGGAGCCACAUGAGAGA
This 531-nucleotide small RNA is filed under the name Pan troglodytes (chimpanzee). Its description in RNAcentral is "processed transcript". The record is from RNAcentral. Lineage: Eukaryota; Metazoa; Chordata; Mammalia; Primates; Hominidae.